Molecule: long non-coding RNA, 546 nt
Organism: Glycine soja
Lineage: Eukaryota; Viridiplantae; Streptophyta; Magnoliopsida; Fabales; Fabaceae
Exons: 2
Source: RefSeq, a predicted model, not a curated record
GAAUCGUUUCAAAUCCUGAAUCUUGAGUCCUUGCCAAGUUUUGCCCAUUCUCUUCUUCACAUAUAUCUGAAUAUAUCUCAAGUCUUUGGAUUUAGCUUCAUAAGCAGAUGUGAAGGGUACAGUAUGGGUUUUUUUUGUCCUUGAAUCCUUAACAGAUGUGAAAGUAUCCUGUUGAUAACUGUUGCAGCCAUGAUUCAGCAGCCUCGUGUUCCAUCAUCUGGGCUGAUGCCUGCCAGUGAUGUUCUUAUUCCUGCAAAAUGCAAAGGAGGUGAUCAUAUACAGGAACAAUCUUGUUAAACUGCUAGCCAAACCAAACGCAUGACUUGGAAAUUGGUAAACAACACCAAAAUUUAGCAAUUUAUCUAGUUUAGGCUUUAUUACUACGUAACUAUUCACUACUUCUUGGAACAGGCUUUAAAUCCAGAAUUUCUCAUUUAUUAAUAGUAUCUAUCUAAUAUAACAGAGUUGAUAGCUUAAGCACACAGUACAUGUGAUGUGGUGUCGUUUAAUCAAUUCAAUACAUGCAAAGUUUGAUAUUUUUUCUCA